AAUGGGCGCAAGCCUGAUCCAGCCAUGCCGCGUGCGGGAAGAAGGCCUUCGGGUUGUAAACCGCUUUUGUCAGGGAAGAAAUCCUCUGGGCUAAUACCUCGGGGGGAUGACGGUACCUGAAGAAUAAGCACCGGCUAACUACGUGCCAGCAGCCGCGGUAAUACGUAGGGUGCGAGCGUUAAUCGGAAUUACUGGGCGUAAAGCGUGCGCAGGCGGUUUUGUAAGACAGAGGUGAAAUCCCCGGGCUCAACCUGGGAACUGCCUUUGUGACUGCAAGGCUUGAGUGCGGCAGAGGGGGAUGGAAUUCCGCGUGUAGCAGUGAAAUGCGUAGAUAUGCGGAGGAACACCGAUGGCGAAGGCAAUCCCCUGGGCCUGCACUGACGCUCAUGCACGAAAGCGUGGGGAGCAAA
Molecule: ribosomal RNA, 410 nt
Filed under: uncultured bacterium
Lineage: Bacteria
Description: bacterial SSU rRNA
Rfam family: Bacterial small subunit ribosomal RNA
Source: RNAcentral